RNAcentral lists this ribosomal RNA (395 nucleotides) under uncultured bacterium. RNAcentral's name for it is "bacterial SSU rRNA". It matches the Rfam family "Bacterial small subunit ribosomal RNA", at positions 30 to 426 of the family's 1533-position model. The record is from RNAcentral.
AUUGAACGCUGGCGGCAUGCCUUACACAUGCAAGUCGAACGGCAGCGCGGGGCAACCUGGCGGCGAGUGGCGAACGGGUGAGUAAUAUAUCGGAACAUGCCCAGAAGUGGGGUAUAACGUAGCGAAAGUUACGCUAAUACCGCAUACGAUCUACGGAUGAAAGUGGGGGACCGCAAGGCCUCAUGCUUUUGGAGUGGCCGAUAUCUGAUUAGCUAGUUGGUGGGGUAAAGGCCUACCAAGGCGACGAUCAGUAGCUGGUCUGAGAGGACGACCAGCCACACUGGAACUGAGACACGGUCCAGACUCCUACGGGAGGCAGCAGUGGGGAAUUUUGGACAAUGGGGGGCAACCCUGAUCCAGCAAUGCCGCGUGUGUGAAGAAGGCCUUCGGGUUGU